CAGGCACAGUUGGGAGCAGGUAAGUCUACCUGGAGUGGGGAGACAGGGCUGGGCUUGGGCAUGAUAACCCUGGAGGCCUGUGUCCUAAUUGUCUGAGGUGGGGGCAGGUGGGGCCAGGGGUAGACUGUGAAAUGAGUAGCUCUAGUUGCUGCAGCAUCAAGGCCCCAGUGACAGCUGGCUUCUCAUGGGGACCCCAAGUCUCAGCUCUGUUCCUGGGCCCGCAGUAUCCUAAAAGGUACCUUCUCUGCUCGCCCCUUGAGAUUUUCCCUCUGGGAUGAGGGGUUCCACACACUGCCCUGAGGGGGCUGGUCUUGGAGCUGCAAGGUGGCCAGAGGGUUAAGUCCAGCCUGAAGUAUCCUUCCUCAGCCCACUUUGCCCCCACUGACUUGAGAACUAGCCACCAGACACCCAAGCAAAGGAAAGGGGUUCUUAUUAGAUGCACUGGACAAAGAAGACGGAGCCCUGCUUUAGAGCCCUGAGGCCGCAGCAGGUGCCCCGACAGGCGGCUUAGGACGACUGAGGCGAACGCUCCCGCUUCAGGUCCCAUAUCCCACAUCCAGGCAUGAGCAGGGCCGCGCUCCCUCCGAAGGCGGCGUUCCUGGGCUGGUGGCCGCAUUACCCCAUCUCCGCCUCCGUUCUACGUGCUGCCUCCCUGAAUCCUCUCCUCUUCUGCCUCUUACUGGGUUUAGGGCCCAGCUUAAUUCAGAUGCCAUCGUCUCAAGACCUUUCACUUAGUUCUAUCUGCAGGGACCUUUUCUUUGAAUAAGGUCACACUCACAGGGUCCGGGAGGAACGUGUCCUUUUGGAGACUGCUGUUCAGCCCUGUCCAGGCCCCUGCCCUGGUCCAGGAGCAGGACUUCAUCUCAAACCCCCGAUUCCUAGGGCACGGAUGUGGCCCUUGCAGUGUUAACAGCUCCUGGGUGAGGCUUGGCCACUCCAGGCCCCCAGCAUGGAUGCUGUCGGGAGGAGACUCAGGCUGGGCUUCUGGGAUCACCAGGCGGGGUAACCACGAUGGUGACGAAUAGAUAACGAGCCCAGCUGCUUGCCAGGCCCCGCACUGCCUUCUUUCACCCUGCGGCACUGCCUUCUUUCACCCUGCGGCACUGCCUUCUUUCACCCUGCGGCAGCCGGCGAGGCAUUCCACACAAAUGGGCUGUGAGCGCAGCCUUGGCAGGGGGGCCAGGACGAUCUACUCACCUGACCCUCGUCCGUCAGAGAGCGCCCUCUGCACCCACCUCACCCAGGGCUGGCACCCAGAGCUAGGGCUUUUCUCCCAGAGCUCUUUCAUUCUCCAGAUCCACAAACCAGGACUGAAUCCGGACGGCUCAAUUGCUUUAACCUGCUUGGGGUCCACAGUCUAACUAGCAAUUGGAAUCAAUUUGAAACCCAUCUGUGGCUGGAUCUUUUGACAGCUUUGUAUUAUUGCUCAUUCAUUUACUCAAAAGUACAUUCUAGGAGUUCCCAUGUGGCACAGUUGGUUAAGAACCCAACUGCAGCAGCUCGUGUUACAACAGAGGUGCGGGUUUGAUCCCCAGCCCAGCAUACUGGGUUAAAGAAUCUGGCAUAGGUUGCAGCUGAGUCUUUCUUUCUUUUCUUUUUUUUUUCUUUUUUGCUUUUUGGGCCGCACCCCUACAGCUUAUGAAAGUUCCCAGGCUAGGGGUCGAACCUGCAUUUGCCAGGCUACACCACAGCAAUGUGGAAUCUGAGCCACAUCUGCGACCUACACCACAGUUCAUGGCAGCACCGGAUCCGUGACCCACUGAGUGAGGCCAGGGAUCGAAUGGGCAUCCUCAUGGGUACCAGUCGGAUUCGUUUACUCUGCACCACAACAAGAACUCCAGAGUCUUGGAUUCCAUCUGUGGCCUGGGAACUUCCCUAUACUGUGGGUAUGGCCAUUUAAAAAAAGUUCUAAUCAAAACAGACUCAGCGUCUAGGGAGUUCCCUUCAUGGCUCAGUGGUUAACGAAUCUGGCUAGGAUUCAGGAGGACGUGGGUUCGAUCCCUAGCCUCGCUCAGUGGGUCAAUGAUCUGGCAUUGCUGUGAGCUGUGGUGUAGGCUAGCAGCUGUAGCUCCGAUUCAACCCCUCGCCUGGGAACUUCCAUGUGCUUUUUAGAGCAGGUAUGACCCUACAAAGCAAAAAAAAAAAAAAAAAAAAAAAAAAAAAAAAAAAAAAGAACAAUAAGGAAACUGGUCUCAGUAUCUAAACCUAAACAAGCUUAGGUCUAGCCUUGUCCCAGAUGUGCGCAUCCAUCCUUUGCCCACAGGGUCCCUGAGGGCAUCCAGCCUGCCUGUGCCCUCCUGAUGCCUGUGCUGUGGUCAGGCCGGGCAGAGGAACGCCUGUUGCUCCCUGGUGAGCCGUGCUCCCAGAGGCAGGCCGGACUUCUGGAGACGUCUCAGUGGAAGGAGGGCUGAGUCCAGGUGGGGCUCAGGGAGGCAGAGGUGCAGGAGGAGGAGAUGUGUUACCAGCCUCGCCGUCCUCACCAGCCCUGGGUGAAUGGCCUAAAAGCUGCUCCUGGCCGGCUCUGCCCUAGCUCAGAGCCUGUAGGAUGAGUGUCCUAUGGCUGCUGUAGCAGGUUACCACCAACCGAGUGGCUUGGAACAACCCGCAUUUAUUUUGUUUUGGUUCUGGAGGUCAAAUCCAAAAGGAGUCCUGUGAGGCUAAAAUCGAGGUGUCGGCAGGGCUGGCUCCUCCCGAGGCUCAAGGGGCGACGUUUCCUCACGGUCUUCUCCCCGAGGCCUGCCUCAUUCCGUGGCUCGUGGCCCCUUCUGCAUCUUCACGGGGCGUCAUUCUGGCCGCAGCUUCCGUCCUCGGGUCUCCUCCUCUGACUCUGACCAUCUGGCCUCCCCUCCCCAGGACCUGGCCAUUGUAUCGGGCCCACCCAGAUGUCCCCGCAUCGUUUUCCCAUCUCAAGACCCUUAACCUGAUGGUGUCUAUAAAGUCCCCUCUGCCGCACAGGGUGAUGUAGUCACAGGUUCUGGGGGUUGGGACAGGGACAUCUUGGGAGCAUUGUCCCUAGAGUCGAGAGUCCUUGGCUGAUCUCUAGGACAUCUGUUCCCCCCACACGGCCUCCCAGAGCUGCUCACUCUAAGGCUGCAGGCUGCCCCCACCUCUGGGGUCAGCAUGUGCCGGGCGCCCUGCCUGGAAUCCACUGAGAACCUUUCUCAUCCACCGGAACUCAGGGGUCCCGUCCCGUUGGGAGUCUCCCGGUUACUCAGCUUCUGGCUUUUGCAAAGACAGGAAAGCCGUAGAGGGGAGCCUAGGAGCAGGUGUUGGGGUCAGGGGUGAGUUCGGGUCUGGACCUGUGCACCCAGGGCAUCUACAGGCCUGCGAGGGGAGCACUGGCUUAGAGCUGGGCUCUCAGGCCUCACCGGGUCUCAGUUUUGAACUUGUUCCCCAGCCCCACAUCCCUCCCCUUGGAGGGAAGCGGUGUGGCAGUCCGGGUGGUUAGCUGGUAGGCAGGUCCUGCCUCUGACCGGUGGAGGGAUCCACGUGGCAACUGGUGAUCAGAGCUGGAGCUGGGGAGUGACCCUCAACUGGGCAUUUGCUCUUAGGCCAAACCCACGAAGCACAUGGGACUCCGUUCAAGGGACAUGACCCAAGCUGUGCGUACCCCAAAGGCUAACGGGACUUACAGUGUCCCCGAGUCGGUCAGGGCCUCCAGGGCGCAGACCUGAGACGGGGUUAGGAAUUCAAGAGACUUGGGCUGGGGAGGUGUUCACAGAGGGGAGGGGGGAAGGGGGCAGGCAGAGAGCCCCGCAGAUGCUGUGCGGACGGGACAAGGCCAGGCCAGCCCAGUGAGGGCCUUUCAGGCAAACUGCCCAGUGGACAGCCGGGCCCUGUGCUGCCACAUUGGCCAGAGGUGUCAGCUCCCUGCGGUCCCCUCCUGCUUCCGCAGGGCCCUGGCCACUCAGCCGGUCAUUCCUGAGCCCUCCUUGGCGCCGGGCAUGUUUUAGAUGCCGCUGGUGAGGGGUGGUGAAGUCUAAGUUUCGCGAGUGAAUGGGCAGAAGCAGGGAAGUUGGGGAGAGGAUGCCCCGCAGGCAUCCCUGUGGGGUGGGCGCUCAGAAGGACUCUCUGGAAAGGGACGUAGACAGGAGACAGCCAGGGAAGGACGCAGCCAUCUGAGCGGAAGGGACAGUCGGGGCCCUGCGUGGGAAGGAGCUUCGUGCUCCCGGACCCCCUCUCUCCCGUGGCCUGGCCCGGCACCUUAGACCCCAUGCCCUGUUCGGUUGUCACCCUCACGGCCUCUGGUCCCACCUCGUGGGUGGGUCAGCCUUUGGUCUGGAGGCCGGGGAGAAAGGGACACCGGAGAUUCAGAAGUGAAGAAUGGAGCCAGACCCCAAAGGCCGCAGAGUGUGUGACCCUUCCUGUGCCCCCCGACAUGUCCGGAACAGGCAGAUUUGGGAGACAGGAUGCAGAUGAGCAGUUGCCAGGGGCUCGGGGAGGGAGAGUGGGGUUGAGGGCCUCAUGGGUAUGGGUGUCUUUUGGGGGUGAUGAAAUGUUCUGGAAGCAGACGGAGAUGGUGGUUGCACAACCUUGUGAGUGAACUUAAUGCUACUGAAUCGUUGCCUCGUAAUGGUUAAUUUCGUGGGAAUUUUUCCUCAGAAGCUGUGCACACACAAGUGGAAGGACAGGAAGGUGGGGCACCGUGGGGUCUGGUCCUUCUGGGAAGAGCUGAAGAGCUGCCAGACUGGCCAGCGUGUCACCCACAUCUUUUUGCGCUAAAAUCACAUCCCUCUCCUCCCCAGCCUCGAGGUCCGUUCCGAAAGCCUUUGUCCCGUGUCUCAGGCUGGGGGAGCUCUAGAGUGGGGUGGGAAGAAGGGUCCUGCACACAGGACUGGGUUGGCCUGUGGAGAGGUGCGCGAGGGGGAGCGGGCAGCGGGGUGGGCUCCAGCCAAGCGAACAGGCCUUUGCAGGGGCCAGAGGACAGGACGUGGACCCCAGGGUGGGGCAGGACCUGGAGGAGCCCCACCAGCUCCUCUCUCUCUUCUCUUCUCUUUUUCCGCUAAGCCGUGAAAGCUCCACAUCCCCCGGCUCAAAACCCGAGCGAGGGUGUGCGCCCGGGAGACUUGCUCGGAGCCGUCUACCCCUCUGCCCCUGCUGCUGCCGUCCCCACAGGAUCCCCAGCCUGCCCCAGGGCCUGCCAGGCACCCGAGGCCUCUGCGCCUGGAGUCUAGAGCUGGCAUGCAGCCCACCAAGGAGCCCACCAACCUGUGAGCCCUGUGCCCACACGCCAACGGCUGCCCGCAUCCCCUCCCCACCCAUCCCCCGGUGGUGGGGACUGUGCCGAGCCUGACCUGGGAUUUAGGGGGCGGACUCGUCUUGAUCCUGUGGCCAUAUAAAUACACACAUCCCAGUGCUGCUUGUGCUGCAUCUCGUGGAGAACACAGCUUUCUGGCUUGAAUUUUCCACUAAGCCAAGUGAAUUCCUGAGCAGUUUUCAAUACAACACAGUUAAAAUGGUUUUAAAAACAAUCACUUUCCUUUUAAUUUUGCUGAAAUGACUUCAUCAGAAUCAGUUCCAAUUACAGCUAAUGCUGCUGUCCUUUUGCCUUGGGGACUGUAAUUUCUAUCAGGACCAGUUUUCGCACGGGAACCAGCCUUCCUCCGUGCUUGCUUACAUAUUUUGUGCUGAUUGUUUCCACGAGUGACGGCUGC
RNAcentral lists this long non-coding RNA (5654 nucleotides) under Sus scrofa (pig). Its description in RNAcentral is "lncRNA (ENSSSCG00055026760.1)". The record is from RNAcentral. Lineage: Eukaryota; Metazoa; Chordata; Mammalia; Artiodactyla; Suidae.